GGGAUAAGCCUGGGAAACUGGGUCUAAUACCGAAUAUGACUGCAUUCUUCAUGGGGUGUGGUGGAAAGCUUUUGCGGUGUGGGAUGGGCCCGCGGCCUAUCAGCUUGUUGGUGGGGUAAUGGCCUACCAAGGCGACGACGGGUAGCCGGCCUGAGAGGGUGACCGGCCACACUGGGACUGAGAUACGGCUCAGACUCCUACGGGAGGCAGCAGUGGGGAAUAUUGCACAAUGGGCGCAAGCCUGAUGCAGCGACGCCGCGUGAGGGAUGACGGCCUUCGGGUUGUAAACCUCUUUCAGCACAGACGAAGCGCAAGUGACGGUAUGUGCAGAAGAAGGACCGGCCAACUACGUGCCAGCAGCCGCGGUAAUACGUAGGGUCCGAGCGUUGUCCGGAAUUACUGGGCGUAAAGAGCUCGUAGGUGGUUUGUCGCGUUGUUCGUGAAAACUCACAGCUUAACUGUGGGCGUGCGGGCGAUACGGGCAGACUUGAGUACUGCAGGGGAGACUGGAAUUCCUGGUGUAGCGGUGGAAUGCGCAGAUAUCAGGAGGAACACCGGUGGCGAAGGCGGGUCUCUGGGCAGUAACUGACGCUGAGGAGCGAAAGCGUGGGGAGCGAACAGGAUUAGAUACCCUGGUAGUCCACGCCGU
This 649-nucleotide ribosomal RNA is filed under the name Mycolicibacterium sp. RNAcentral describes it as "bacterial SSU rRNA". It matches the Rfam family "Bacterial small subunit ribosomal RNA", at positions 140 to 803 of the family's 1533-position model. The record is from RNAcentral. Lineage: Bacteria; Bacillati; Actinomycetota; Actinomycetes; Mycobacteriales; Mycobacteriaceae.